Molecule: ribosomal RNA, 492 nt
Filed under: uncultured bacterium
Lineage: Bacteria
Description: partial 16S ribosomal RNA
Rfam family: Bacterial small subunit ribosomal RNA
Source: RNAcentral
AGUGAACGCUGGCGGUAGGCCUAACACAUGCAAGUCGAACGGCAGCACAGUAAGAGCUUGCUCUUACGGGUGGCGAGUGGCGGACGGGUGAGGAAUACAUCGGAAUCUACUUUUUCGUGGGGGAUAACGUAGGGAAACUUACGCUAAUACCGCAUACGACCUACGGGUGAAAGCAGGGGAUCUUCGGAUCUUGCGCGAUUGAAUGAGCCGAUGUCGGAUUAGCUAGUUGGCGGGGUAAAGGCCCACCAAGGCGACGAUCCGUAGCUGGUCUGAGAGGAUGAUCAGCCACACUGGAACUGAGACACGGUCCAGACUCCUACGGGAGGCAGCAGUGGGGAAUAUUGGACAAUGGGCGCAAGCCUGAUCCAGCCAUACCGCGUGGGUGAAGAAGGCCUUCGGGUUGUAAAGCCCUUUUGGUGGGAAAGAAAAGCAGCAGGUUAAUACCCCGCUGUUCUGACGGUACCCAAAGAAUAAGCACCGGCUAACUUCGUG